Molecule: ribosomal RNA, 468 nt
Filed under: uncultured bacterium
Lineage: Bacteria
Description: partial 16S ribosomal RNA
Rfam family: Bacterial small subunit ribosomal RNA
Source: RNAcentral
GACGAACGCUGGCGGCGUGCUUAACACAUGCAAGUCGAACGGAAAGGCCCUGCUUUUGUGGGGUGCUCGAGUGGCGAACGGGUGAGUAACACGUGAGUAACCUGCCCUUGACUUUGGGAUAACUUCAGGAAACUGGGGCUAAUACCGGAUAGGAGCUCCUGCUGCAUGGGGGGGGUUGGAAAGUUUCGGCGGUUGGGGAUGGACUCGCGGCUUAUCAGCUUGUUGGUGGGGUAGUGGCUUACCAAGGCUUUGACGGGUAGCCGGCCUGAGAGGGUGACCGGGCACAUUGGGACUGCGGUACGGCGCAGACGCCUACGGGCGGCAGCAGUGGGGAAUAUUGCACAAUGGGCGGAAGCCUGAUGCAGCAGCGCCGCGUGCGGGAUGACGGCCUUCGGGUUGUAAACCGCUUUCGCCUGUGACGAAGCGUGAGUGACGGUAAUGGGUAAAGAAGCACCGGCUAACUACGUG